Non-coding RNA from Pelobates cultripes (western spadefoot toad), 207 nucleotides. The record is from the annotation of a GenBank genome assembly. Lineage: Eukaryota; Metazoa; Chordata; Amphibia; Anura; Pelobatidae.
GCUGUGUUUACCAGAAUUCACUAGGUUGCUGUUAACUUUUGAGCCUUGUAUGUCUCCUGGAAUUUGAUUAAUUGUACUCCAACACCCAAUAUAUUUCUAUUGACAUUGUUUGAAGUACAUCAGCCACUAAAAAAGGCCUCUCUUUUGUGCACUGCAACAUCCGUAGCUUGCUCCCUAAACUGGAUGCACUGCAAGCCUGGUGUUCCC